CCUACGGGUGGCAGCAGUGGGGAAUAUUGCGCAAUGGGCGAAAGCCUGACGCAGCGACGCCGCGUGAGGGAGGAAGGUCUUCGGAUCGUAAACCCCUGUCAGCAGGGAAGAACGGUCACUGUGUUAAUCAGCAGGGAAUUGACGGUACCUGCACAGGAAGCACCGGCUAACUCCGCGCCAGCAGCCGCGGUAAUACGGAGGGUGCGAGCGUUAAUCGGAAUUACUGGGGGUAAAGCGCUCGUAGGCGGUAUGCCAAGUCUAGGGUGAAGGCCGCGCGCUCAACGUGGGGACUGCCUUUGAAACUGGCAAACUAGAGUGUGUGAGAGGAUAGUGGAAUUCCAGGUGUAGGAGUGAAAUCCGUAGAUAUCUGGAGGAACACCAGUGGCGAAGGCGGCUAUCUGGCACAUAACUGACGCUGAGGAGCGAAAGCGUGGGUAGCGAACAGGAUUAGAUACCCGUGUAGUC
Molecule: ribosomal RNA, 465 nt
Filed under: uncultured bacterium
Lineage: Bacteria
Description: partial 16S ribosomal RNA
Rfam family: Bacterial small subunit ribosomal RNA
Source: RNAcentral